Oncorhynchus tshawytscha (Chinook salmon) is the source of this 315-nucleotide long non-coding RNA. Lineage: Eukaryota; Metazoa; Chordata; Actinopteri; Salmoniformes; Salmonidae. The record is from Ensembl.
GGGAGGGGUUGAAUGGAGCUGAAGGAUGGGACUGGAUGGUGUUGAGAGAUAGAUGGGAGGGGUUGAAUGGAGCUGAAGGAUGGGACUGGAUGGUGUUGAGGGGUAGAUGGGAGGGUUUGAAUGGAGCUGAAGGAUGGGACUGGAUGGUGUUGAGGGGUAGAUGGGAGGGGUUGAGUGGAGCUGAAGGGUGGGACUGGAUGGUGUUGAGAGAUAGAUGGGAGGGGUUGAAUGGAGCUGAAGGGUGGGACUGGAUGGUGUUGAGAGAUAGAUGGGAGGGGUUGAAUGGAGCUGAAGGAUGGGACUGGAUGGUGUUGA